UGGGGAAUUUUGGACAAUGGGCGAAAGCCUGAUCCAGCAAUGCCGCGUGUGUGAAGAAGGCCUUCGGGUUGUAAAGCACUUUUGUCCGGAAAGAAAUCCUUGGCUCUAAUACAGUCGGGGGAUGACGGUACCGGAAGAAUAAGCACCGGCUAACUACGUGCCAGCAGCCGCGGUAAUACGUAGGGUGCAAGCGUUAAUCGGAAUUACUGGGCGUAAGCGUGCGCAGGCGGUUUGCUAAGACCGAUGUGAAAUCCCCGGGCUCAACCUGGGAACUGCAUUGGUGACUGGCAGGCUAGAGUAUGGCAGAGGGGGGUAGAAUUCCACGUGUAGCAGUGAAAUGCGUAGAGAUGUGGAGGAAUACCGAUGGCGAAGGCAGCCCCUUGGGCCAAUACUGACGCUCAUGCACGAAGCGUGGGGAGCAAACAGGAUUAGAUACCCUGGUAGUCCACGCCCUAACGAUGUCACUAGUUGUUGGGAUUCAUUUCCUAGUACGUAGCUACGCGUGAGUUGACCGCCUGGGGAGUACGGUCGC
RNAcentral lists this ribosomal RNA (532 nucleotides) under uncultured bacterium. RNAcentral's name for it is "partial 16S ribosomal RNA". It matches the Rfam family "Bacterial small subunit ribosomal RNA", at positions 355 to 889 of the family's 1533-position model. The record is from RNAcentral.